AACGAACGCUGGCGGCAUGCCUAACACAUGCAAGUCGAACGAGACCUUCGGGUCUAGUGGUGCACGGGUGCGUAACGCGUGGGGACCUGCCUUUAGGUUCGGAAUAACUCCCCGAAAGGGGUGCUAAUACCGGAUAAUAUACUCGGACCAAAGAUUUAUCGCAUUUGGAUGGGCCCGCGUUGGAUUAGCUAGUUGGUAGGGUAAAAUCCUACCAAGGCGACGUGCCAUAGAUGGUCUGAGAGGAUGGUCAGCCACACUGGGACUGGGACACGGCCCAGACUCCUACGGGAGGCGGCAGUGGGGAAUAUUGGACAAUGGGCGAAAGCCUGAACCAGCUAUGCCGCGUGAGUGAUGAAGGCCUUAGGGUUGUAAAGCUCUUUUACCCGGGAUGAUAAUGACAGUACCGAGAGAAUAAGCUCCGGCUAACUCCGUG
Molecule: ribosomal RNA, 433 nt
Filed under: uncultured bacterium
Lineage: Bacteria
Description: partial 16S ribosomal RNA
Rfam family: Bacterial small subunit ribosomal RNA
Source: RNAcentral